UACAGAGGGUGCAAGCGUUAAUCGGAAUUACUGGGCGUAAAGCGUGCGUAGUCGGUUAUUUAAGUCGGGUGUGAAAGCCCCGGGCUCAACCUGGGAAUUGCAUUCGAUACUGGAUAGCUAGAGUUCGGCAGAGGGAAGCGGAAUUUCCGGUGUAGCGGUGAAAUGCGUAGAUAUCGGAAGGAACAUCAGUGGCGAAAGCGGCUUCCUGGACCAGAACUGACGAUCAAGCACGAAAGCGUGGGGAGCAAACAGG
This 253-nucleotide ribosomal RNA is filed under the name uncultured bacterium. Its description in RNAcentral is "partial 16S ribosomal RNA". It matches the Rfam family "Bacterial small subunit ribosomal RNA", at positions 524 to 776 of the family's 1533-position model. The record is from RNAcentral.